GACGAACGCUGGCGGCGUGCUUAACACAUGCAAGUCGAACGGAAAGGCCCCAGCUUGCUGGGGGACUCGAGUGGCGAACGGGGGAGUAACACGUGGGGGAUCUCCCCUGGACACCGGGAUAAGUCCGGGAAACUGGGUCUAAUACCCGACAGGACCGUCCGCUAGAGUGUGCGGCGGAAAGUUGUUCGGUGCAGGAUGAGCCCGCGGCCUAUCAGCUUGUUGGUGGGGUAAUGGCCUACCAAGGCGGCGACGGGUAGCCGACCUGAGAGGGUGUACGGCCACAUUGGGACUGAGACACGGCCCGGCCUCCUACGGGAGGCAGCGGUGGAGAAUAUUGCACAAUGGGCGCAAGCCUGAUGCGGCGACGCCGCGUGGGGGAUGACGGCCUUCGGGUUGUAAACCCCUUUCGGCAGGGACGAAGCGUUUGUGACGGUACCUGCAUAAGAAGCACCGGCUAACUACGUG
RNAcentral lists this ribosomal RNA (465 nucleotides) under uncultured bacterium. RNAcentral describes it as "partial 16S ribosomal RNA". It matches the Rfam family "Bacterial small subunit ribosomal RNA", at positions 28 to 507 of the family's 1533-position model. The record is from RNAcentral.